This 468-nucleotide ribosomal RNA is filed under the name uncultured bacterium. RNAcentral's name for it is "partial 16S ribosomal RNA". It matches the Rfam family "Bacterial small subunit ribosomal RNA", at positions 28 to 507 of the family's 1533-position model. The record is from RNAcentral.
GACGAACGCUGGCGGCGUGCUUAACACAUGCAAGUCGAACGGAAAGGCCCUGCUUUUGUGGGGUGCUCGAGUGGCGAACGGGUGAGUAACACGUGAGUAACCUGCCCUUGACUGUGGGAUAACUUCAGGAAACUGGGGCUAAUACCGGAUAGGAGCUCCUGCUGCAUGGUGGUGGUUGGAAAGUUUCGGCGGUUGGGGAUGGACUCGCGGGUUAUCAGCUGGUUGGUGGGGUAGUGGCUUACCAAGGCUUUGACGGGUAGCCGGCCUGAGAGGGUGACCGGCCACAUUGGGCCUGAGAUACGGACCAGAAUCGUAUGGGCGGCAGCAGUGGGGAAUAUUGCACAAUGGGCGGACGCCUGAUGCAGAAACGCCGCGUGCGGGAUGCCCGCCUUCGGGUUGUAAACAGAUUUCGACUGUGACGAAGCGUGAGUGACGGUAAUGGGUAAAGAAGCAACGGCUAACUACGUG